UACUCCUACGGGAGGCAGCAGUGGGGAAUUUUGGACAAUGGGCGCAAGCCUGAUCCAGCCAUGCCGCGUGUGUGAAGAAGGCCUUCGGGUUGUAAAGCUCUUUCGCUAGGGAGGAAAACGUGCGGGCUAAUAUCCGGUGGGGGUGACGGUACCUUGACAAUAAGCACCGGCUAACUACGUGCCAGCAGCCGCGGUAAUU
Molecule: ribosomal RNA, 199 nt
Filed under: uncultured bacterium
Lineage: Bacteria
Description: partial 16S ribosomal RNA
Rfam family: Bacterial small subunit ribosomal RNA
Source: RNAcentral